UUUUUUUUUUUUUUCCCCCUUAUUCAUUUCUGGUUCUCAGUGCUAGUCACAUUCAGUCACAGGAUAGCAACUUUCAAGGCUGGCAUAGAUUAAGAAAUGCUCCUUUCUUCUGUGACCCUUCAACCUAGGAAAUUUCCCCUAGUUCUGCUUCAUAUUCUUUGCUCCCAGCAAUGAGGAUUGUUCUGUCAUUGCUGAUGUAGUAGGCUGCCUCUGCUUGUCCCAUGGAACAUCUGGAUGGCCCCUAUUUUCUGGAGGACACGCCAUCCAGGACUCAGGCUUCAGUUUCCCUUUGGUUUAUCACCUGCUCCUGACACCCUAGGAGAGCCCCAGCAACACCUGGAGCUUACAAGGGAGGGGAAACUAGAGAGGAAGCUAGCCUAGUCCUUAGGACAAAGUAGGCUGUCUUUACGUAUCUAUAGACCUAGGCUAAAAUCCCAUGAACACUUUUUGAAAAUACCAAGAAUCCCGUGCUUUUCUUUAUCCCUACAUGACCCUGAGUGACAGAACAUCAAGGGUCAUGUGAUAAUUACAGUUCACAUUCUGGAGUUCUUGAGCAAUAGGCUAAAUAAACUGCAUUUUGGAAAGACUCUUACCUUUGCUAGUUUUGAUUUUGCCACAGGCAAAGCGGGAAAAGAGGGGUGUAUGUUCCUGGACUGUUUCUCAAUUAGGUCUAUUCGAAAGGUUAUUUAGUGAGAGUUUUUAAGGAUGCUGAAGCCCAUGGAGAGCUAGUGAAUCAGAAUCUUCACAGGGAGAACUUAAGUGUUUGUAUUUGGAGAAACAUCUCCGAGUCAUGCUGGUGAUCAGGCCUGGCAGAAAGUCACUUUAGAUUAUCUGCAAGGUUUUUGUGAUGGAUUCCUCAGAACAAAGUCCAAAAAGUUCUAGAGCUGACCAAUGGAUGAAGGACUUUUUUAAAAGAAUAAAGCUGGCGCUGGGAUGUUUGUCGAAGUUGCCACUUCCUUCAAGUGCCGGAUACAUGUUGUUCAUGUGGAGGCCACCACUAUAAAAUUCCGUAUCCAAAGGAUGCAGAAGGGAGACUUCCCUACCCUGGCCAAUGCCUCAAGUUUCUGCAUACAGCUUGGAUUAUCUGUUUAAAACCCUAUCAUUAAUUAUCCUUUCUUAUUUGCUUCACAGUCACCCAAAUGUGGCAUUUUUUUUCCAAUUAUUUUUUUCCAGGGAAUGCUAAUAUACUAGAUAAAAAAAGUAACAUGUGAUAGUUAAUGGGCAAAAUGCAGCUGAAAAAAGAUUGAAUGCAAACAUAAAUCCUGCAUCCUGUGGUUAUGUGCAAAGUGCUUUGUGGAAGAUCAGUUUACUUCUCUGGACUUCAAAUUUCUAACUGUAAACUGAAUGGAUUACUAUAGCUUAUAAGUUCUUAACGAACGGAUGAGGUUCCAAGUAUCGACAAAUGUAUGAAUUUUUAAUAUGAUUUUAUGAAUAACGAUGUAUGUGCUUGUCUAAUUCAAUUUUUACCACAGGAGAAAGUUCAUAGGUAAAGCUAAUUAAAAUUAGGGUCUCAGUGGAGACAGUAAAUUAGUUAAACAGCUAUAAAAAACGGCGGAGACAGUAAAUUAGUUAAAUAGCAGUAAAAGUUAUAAUAUUGCUUAUUCUUUAAUAUUCUAUAGUUACAUUAACCUGAGUGCUAAUUCAGAAAAAUCUAGUACUCUGGAUUUGAUACAUAUUAUAGUAUGCAGUGCACAAUGAUAGGAAGAUUUCAAAACUGCAUGGGAGUUCUUUUGUGGCACAGUGGGUUAAGGAUCUGGCACUGUCACCAUAGUGGCUUGGGUUACUACUGUGACAUGGGUUCAACCUCUGGCCUAGGAAUUUCUACAUGCCAUGAGUGUGGCCAAAAAAAAAAAAAUGUAUGGACAUAGUCAUUUGGGAUAUUAAAUUAUACAAUUCAAACCAAAAGUCAUCUUUGGUGACUAAAAUAGUCUAUAUUUUUGCUCCUAUCAAUUUGUGUAACACCAACUAUAUUUUUGUCAAGUUUCCAUAGCAUUUGUUUGAUGAUAACAGAUCAGUGUUAACAGAAUGAACACAUCAAAAUAAAAACCUUCCUUUGGAUGAUAAUUCCACAUAAGCUUGGAACAUUCCCAAUUCUUGGAACAGCCUUAAAGAUGGAGUGAGUCAUGAAAUGUUACCUCCUUUUAGAAUGAGGGAGUUUAGGUGUAUAGAGAAAGACAGGCUCCAAGUCACAUAGAAUAGCAACACUGGAGUAGUCUGUUUCUGACCCCACAGCACUGUGGUCCAACAUAUCAAUGCCAUUCUCUGUAUCUUUCACCACCAUAGCUAGUAAGACCUCUCAGAAAGGAAAGACGUAGCAUCUUUUUAGGAUUCGUUGUGUCACAGGCAGAAGAAGAAAGGAAUUCAUGUAAACAUUCCCCUCCCUGUUCCUUUUUUUCUAGUCAGACUCUUUGGAGAGGUCUAGUUCUCUUCCCGGAUGAGGGUCGUUAUACAAGGUUUUCAAUCUCUUUGAUCCUCAGUUUUUCUUCCUUAUCAAUGUGAGAUGGCUGUAGCUACCUCAUAUGGUGUUGCAAAGUUAAUCUUCAACAGACUCAUCUCCAGCAGGGUAGACACCUUAUCUACAACAAGGGCUGAGUUAUUCUUCUCUAACUUCUUCCUUCACCAUCCUCACUGACCAGUUGCCUCUAGAAGCCAUUUAUCAACUGCAGAAUGUCAUGGAGAGAAUAUACACUCAAACAAUUUUGAAAUUCCAUCCUCAAAUUUCCUUUUCUUCCUGAUUCUCCCAAUUUUGUGACUCUCCUAGAGAACUGCUUCUCCCCACAGUCAUUUCAACUCCUCUUUCUCACAGUCUCUUAGUGCUUCCAGCUGUGUUUCCUCAUUUCCUAUUUGGCUUUCAUGUUCUCCAUUGGACCUGAAGGAGUCUCCAGUUCAUUGGUCACAGAAUUUCUCAGGUCACUAGUCCCAGUUUGUGAAGGGUUUCCCACCUAAUCUGGUUUUUGAGAACCUACAGUUACCUUACAGGGGGGAUGAGCCCAAGUAGCUCCCACUGGACUCAGAAAGCUAGAGGACAGAGGGAAAACACUUGAAUUCCAAGGCUCUUCCUGGCCUGAUCCCAGUAACUAUCCAAUCAAAGUACUUUUUGGCCUCAUAAUUGGAAACACUGUGUCAAUUUCUCCCUAGGUAUUAACAGAUACACACUUAGAGUAGAUCAGUAGUACAAACAUCAUACAGUGUUCAUGCUUUUUAAUAGUGAAACUCAUAAAGGAUGAGUAACAGUGAGUAAAAGGGCUUCGCACACCUUUCCAAGAAGCUGAAAAUGUUACCCUGUUCCAAAACACCAGAACAUGAUUUUUAUAAUACCUUAGUUAAGACUGACCCUAUUUCUCUAUUUUGAUUCUUUUCUCUUUUUUUAAACCUUGUUCAUUUAUUUACUCAUGAAAAUAUUGGAAGAAGGGGAGACAUCUAUUUAAACAGUGUACUAGGCCACAAGUAUUAACAAAUAAUUAAGAUGCAGUUUGUCUCCAAGGAGGAUGGAAUUAGUAGAUCAAGACAGACAUGGACACAAAUGAAUAUCAACACAAUGAAAAAAAGUAUAAUAAGAGAUAUGUAUGCAUGACACAAAGAUGGCAUGGAUGAAGAGGUGGCCAUUUCUUAUGGCAGGAUGAGAGGAAGGGGUUCUUAAUUAGAUGAUUUGAUUGGUUUUUUGAAAAUACAACAAUCAAAUGAUGGAGAAAACUGUGGAGAAGCCACCUGAGACGUUACUGUGAAAUAAACAUGUUACGUUACUUGAUCUUCUGAGGGGAAGGCAGCUAUUGGAAAUUGUUAAACAGGAAAGAAGUCGUUUAGAAUCUUCACUCUAACAACCAGGUAGGGAACAUGGAUUGGUGGGAAAGACACAGGAGGCAACAAAAAUAGUGGAGGAGUGAUGGCAAUAGCUCAGGUCAGGGGUGAAUGUGUCAGAACCAGGGAAGUGGCAGGAAUCAUGAAGAGAAGCUGGUGGAAUUCAGGGAGCAAAACCGACAGGAUGUGUUAGUUAAUAUAAUUGAGAAGUGAGGCAAGGAAAAAUAGAGUACGGAUCCCAUGCUUAUGAUCGAAAUGUGGUCCUCAGGUACAAGCAUGGCUCAAAAUGUCAUAUUAAGUUGUUUUUAUUCUCUGACAACAUUCCCCAACAGACAAAACAGUACUUUUCUGAGCUUUAACUCUAUAUCUUGUCUUGCUUUGCUCAGAGGUGAUCUUCCGAAAAUCAAACUUAAAAAGAAAUCCAUCUGUCCAGCCCAUGUGUAAAUCCAAUCCUUGCCACUCCUGUGCUCUCAAAAUUAAGUUCAAGCCCCUUAACAUGGAUUGCAUAUUACAUGAUUUGGUCUCUGCCUGUCUUCCUAGCUUUAGGUACCCACUAUUCCCAAUCCCUUUUCCCUGUACACUAAUGAUCCAAUCACAAUGCACUUCUCUUUUCUUUGACCUCUGUAUCAUUGAAACGGCAGUUUCCUUUGCCAGGAACCACCACCACAUACACGCAUAUACACACGCAAACACAGCAUACUACUUCCUGGCAAACUCCUACUCAUGUUCAAAGCAUGCUUGAAACGUCAUGUCCUUUGUUCAUCCUCCUCCAUUACUGCCAUCCCUCAAAUGCUGAAUUUAUUCCACAUCUUCUCUCCUUAGAUCUUUUCCAUUUACUCAAUUACAACACAUGCUACUCUUAUUUCUGUUAAAAAAAAAAUUUCAUUUAGCCAAACACUAUGCCAGUGGCGAAGGGUAUAUUGAUAAACAGCACCGUCUAAGUUGCUACUAUCUUAGAACUUACUUCGGGGGGGGGGUGGGGUGUCAAGACAGGCCACCCAAAGAUAUGCCCCAGUGGCAUAUUGAUUAUUUUGAAUUAAAGCUACAGCUGGCUCAGGGUGAAAGGCUAUUGAAAACAACAACAAUACUCUGACCCUU
Molecule: long non-coding RNA, 4896 nt
Filed under: Sus scrofa (pig)
Lineage: Eukaryota; Metazoa; Chordata; Mammalia; Artiodactyla; Suidae
Description: lncRNA (ENSSSCG00055002191.1)
Source: RNAcentral